GUACACGAGCGGCGGACGGCUGAGUAACACGUAGGAACGUACCCCAAAGUGAGGGAUAAGCACCAAAAAUGGUGUCUAAUACCGCAUGUGCUCUAAGGAGUAAAGCUUUAUGCGCUUUGGGAGCGGCCUGCGCCUGAUUAGUUUGUUGGUGAGGUAAUGGCUCACCAAGACUACGAUCAGUAGCUGGUCUGAGAGGAUGAUCAGCCAGACUGGGACUGAGAACGGCCCAAACUCCUACGGGAGGCAGCAGUAGGGAAUUUUCCACAAUGGACGAAAGUCUGAUGGAGCAACGCCGCGUGCAGGAUGAAUGCCUUUGGGUUGUAAACUGCUUUUAUCUGUGACGAAUAUGACGGUAGCAAAUGAAUAAGGAUCGGCUAACUCCGUGCCAGCAGCCGCGGUCAUACGGAGGAUCCAAGCGUUAUCCGGAAUUACUGGGCGUAAAGAGUUGCGUAGGUGGCAUUGUAAGUUAGUAGUGAAAUCGUGUGGCUCAACCAUGCUCACAUUACUAAAACUACAAAGCUAGAGAAUGAGAGAGGUCGCUAGAAUUCCCUGUGUAGGAGUGAAAUCCGUAGAUAUAGGGAGGAAUACCGAUGGCGUAGGCAGGCGACUGGCUCAUUUCUGACACUAAGGCACGAAAGCGUGGGUAGCAAACGGGAUUAGAUACCCCGGUAGUCCACGCCGUAAACUAUGGAUGCUAGCUGUUAACCGUAUCGACCCGGUUAGUAGCGAAGCUAACGCGUUAAGCAUCCCGCCUGUGGAGUACGGUCGCAAGACUAAAACAUAAAGGAAUUGACGGGGACCCGCACAGCGGUGGAGCGGUGUUCUUUAAUUCGACGGUAAGCGAAGAAUCCUUACCAGG
This 859-nucleotide ribosomal RNA is filed under the name uncultured bacterium. Its description in RNAcentral is "bacterial SSU rRNA". It matches the Rfam family "Bacterial small subunit ribosomal RNA", at positions 87 to 978 of the family's 1533-position model. The record is from RNAcentral.